This 292-nucleotide ribosomal RNA is filed under the name uncultured bacterium. RNAcentral's name for it is "partial 16S ribosomal RNA". It matches the Rfam family "Bacterial small subunit ribosomal RNA", at positions 505 to 796 of the family's 1533-position model. The record is from RNAcentral.
GUGCCAGCCGCCGCGGUAAUACGUAGGGAGCAAGCGUUGUUCGGAAUUAUUGGGCGUAAAGAGCGCGUAGGCGGUUUGGUAAGUCUGGUGUGAAAUCCCGGAGCUUAACUCCGGAACUGCAUUGGAUACUGCCAGGCUUGAGUGUGGGAGAGGAGAGUGGAAUUCCCAGUGUAGAGGUGAAAUUCGUAGAUAUUGGGAGGAACACCCGUGGCGAAGGCGGCUCUCUGGACCACAACUGACGCUGAGGCGCGAAAGCUAGGGGAGCAAACGGGAUUAGAUACCCGAGUAGUCC